AUCCAACCCUAAAUACUACUACUAGACCGAUAGUGCACAAGUACCGUGAGGGAAAGGUGAAAAGAACUGAGGUGAUCAGAGUGAAAUAGAACCUGAAACCAUUUGCUUACAAUCAUUCAGAGCCCUAUGAUUUAUCAGGGUGAUGGACUGCCUUUUGCAUAAUGAGCCUGCGAGUUGUGGUGUCUGGCAAGGUUAAGGAAACCCGGAGCCGUAGCGAAAGCGAGUCUUAAUAGGGCGCAAAGUCAGAUGCUGCAGACCCGAAACGAUGUGAUCUAUCCAUGAGCAGGUUGAAACCGGUGUAAGAGCCGGUGGAGGACCGAACAGACGGCCGUUGAAAAGGCUCCUGAUGACUUGUGGAUAGGGGUGAAAGGCCAAUCAAACAUCGUGAUAGCUGGUUCUCUCCGAAAUAUAUUUAGGUAUAGCGUUGUGUAGUAACUUUGUGAGGUAGAGCACUGAAUGGGCUAGGGCAUACACCAAUGUACCAAACCCUAUCAAACUCCGAAUGCGCAAAGUGUAAUCACAGCAGUCAGGCGGCGAGUGAUAAAAUCCGUCGUCAAGAGGGGAACAACCCAGACUAACAGCUAAGGUCCCUAAAUCUCAUUUAAGUGGAAAACGAUGUGAAGUUACUUUAACAACCAGGAGGUUGGCUUAGAAGCAGCCAUCCUUUAAAGAAAGCGUAAUAGCUCACUGGUCUAGUGAUUUCGCGCGGAAAAUAUAACGGGGCUAAAAUGAGUACCGAAGCUUUAGA
Molecule: ribosomal RNA, 748 nt
Filed under: Campylobacter hyointestinalis subsp. lawsonii
Lineage: Bacteria; Pseudomonadati; Campylobacterota; Epsilonproteobacteria; Campylobacterales; Campylobacteraceae
Description: bacterial LSU rRNA
Rfam family: Bacterial large subunit ribosomal RNA
Source: RNAcentral